RNAcentral lists this ribosomal RNA (834 nucleotides) under viral metagenome. RNAcentral's name for it is "bacterial SSU rRNA". The stretch from base 1 to 720 matches the Rfam family "Bacterial small subunit ribosomal RNA", at positions 685 to 1533 of the family's 1533-position model. The record is from RNAcentral.
AAUGCGUAGAUAUAUGGAAGAACACCAGUGGCGAAGGCGGCUCUCUGGUCUGCAACUGACGCUGAGGCUCGAAAGCAUGGGUAGCGAACAGGAUUAGAUACCCUGGUAGUCCAUGCCGUAAACGAUGAGUGCUAAGUGUUGGGAGGUUUCCGCCUCUCAGUGCUGCAGCUAACGCAUUAAGCACUCCGCCUGGGGAGUACGACCGCAAGGUUGAAACUCAAAGGAAUUGACGGGGGCCCGCACAAGCGGUGGAGCAUGUGGUUUAAUUCGAAGCAACGCGAAGAACCUUACCAGGUCUUGACAUCUAGUGCCAUUUGUAGAGAUACAAAGUUCCCUUCGGGGACGCUAAGACAGGUGGUGCAUGGCUGUCGUCAGCUCGUGUCGUGAGAUGUUGGGUUAAGUCCCGCAACGAGCGCAACCCUUGUCUUAUGUUGCCAGCACGUUAUGGUGGGAACUCAUGAGAGACUGCCGGGGUUAACUCGGAGGAAGGUGGGGAUGACGUCAAAUCAUCAUGCCCCUUAUGUCCAGGGCUUCACACAUGCUACAAUGGUCGGUACAGCGAGUUGCCACACCGUGAGGUGGAGCUAAUCUCUGAAAGCCGGCCUCAGUUCGGAUUGGGGUCUGCAACUCGACCCCAUGAAGUCGGAGUCGCUAGUAAUCGCAGAUCAGCAACGCUGCGGUGAAUACUGGUGGGGACGACGUCAAAUCAUCAUGCCCCUUAUGUCUUGGGCUUCAAGCAUGCUACAAUGGUCGGUACAAUGGGUUGCGAAACUGUGAGGUGGAGCGAAUCCCAAAAAGCCGGCCUCAGUUCGGAUUGGGGUCUGCAACUCGACC